Molecule: ribosomal RNA, 513 nt
Filed under: uncultured bacterium
Lineage: Bacteria
Description: partial 16S ribosomal RNA
Rfam family: Bacterial small subunit ribosomal RNA
Source: RNAcentral
GAUUAACGCUGGCGGCAUGCCUAAUACAUGCAAGUCGAGCGAACAGAUGAAGUGCUUGCACUUCUGACGUUAGCGGCGAACGGGUGAGUAACACGUAAGGAAUCUACCUAUAAGCGGGGGAUAACAUUCGGAAACGGGUGCUAAUACCGCAUAAUAUCUUCUUCCGCAUGGAAGAAGAUUGAAAGACGGCUCUGCUGUCACUUAUAGAUGACCUUGCGGUGCAUUAGUUAGUUGGUGGGGUAACGGCCUACCAAGACGAUGAUGCAUAGCCGACCGGAGAGGGUGAUCGGCCACAUUGGGACUGAGACACGGCCCAAACUCCUACGGGAGGCAGCAGUAGGGAAUCUUCCGCAAUGGGCGAAAGCCUGACGGAGCAAUGCCGCGUGAGUGAAGAAGGCCUUCGGGUCGUAAAACUCUGUUAUAAGAGAAGAACAAAUUGUAGAGUAACUGCUACAGUCUUGACGGUAUCUUAUCAGAAAGCCACGGCUAACUACGUGCCAGCAGCCGCCGUAA